This is a long non-coding RNA of Alosa sapidissima (American shad), 476 nucleotides long. RefSeq lists it as uncharacterized. The transcript is spliced from 2 exons. The record is from RefSeq and is a predicted model, not a curated record. NCBI's taxonomy places the organism in Eukaryota, Metazoa, Chordata, Actinopteri, Clupeiformes, Clupeidae.
AGUUAAAAAUGUAGUGUAUUGUUAUAUAUGAUUUUCGCCAAAGUAAAACAGCCUUGUUUAAUAGUUGUGAAUGGGAGCCACCCUUGGCCAUAUGGUGUACUGCAGAUCUGCUGCGUGUAGUCUUGUGUUGCUUCCCUACCCGAUCAGAGUAGCCGUAUGCUUUUGAUCUGAUGCUGUACGUGGUACACCGAAGCCUGAAGGCAAUGUUUUGAUUUAUUUUCUUAAAGGUAUGUGGCUCCGUAAUGUAAAUAGGUUCUAGUGAAGUGCUGUAACUUUAUGCAGUUUAGUUAUGCCCAUUCUAUAUGGGAAGUUAAAUGUCAUGAUUCAGAUAAAAUUAUGCAUUUUCUAUUAUUGAGAGAGUAAUUAGCAGAGUAGCCGUAUGCUUUUGAUCUGAUGCUGUACGUGGUACACCGAAGCCUGAAGGCAAUGUUUUGAUUUAUUUUCUUAAAGGAAAAUAAAAAGGAAGAAAAAUUCAA